GGUGUGUAUACCAAACAGCGAACGCUCUCCUAAGCGGGUCGCAGCUGUCCGCGUAACGCUUCCAAUAAUCAUGAUACGUGCCAUAGAUCAACACAGAUAGUACGGAGAACAAUCUGAACGCAACUGUCCAGCGCUGAAGCGUGUCAGUCCAGAGGGGUCUCCUUCAGUCGAGGAAAGACCUGUCGCGGCUUUUUUGCAGCACCAUUGAGAGACAAUGUGUGUUUGCUAGCUGUUGUCACAAGUGUCGUGGGCGUCGUCGUCUUGGUGCGCUCAAGAUCACAGCGGAACGGAUUUCCGGUCGGCUCAUCUUGCAGCGCUUGGGAAUGCUGUAGUGGACGCAAUGCGGCAAUACUUACGAUGCAACUCCAAGAGCAGUUGAAAACUUACCGCGUUAAUGACUCAAGUCGUUUGUCAAGGUGGGCCACGCGCUUCGCUUGACAUUUCACUCCCUCGAGUCACACUGCCUUAUCGCCCGGGUAAUUAGUUAUACUGCAGCUAAUUACGUGCCCGUGUUGUCAUAUCGUGCUAGCGAUUUCCCUCAAAGAUAGAGAAAACCAAAGGGAAUAUUACCGGCGCAUCCAAGCAUCUCCUGUUGAGCUUUUGC
Dermacentor silvarum is the source of this 604-nucleotide long non-coding RNA. RefSeq lists it as uncharacterized. The record is from RefSeq and is a predicted model, not a curated record. NCBI's taxonomy places the organism in Eukaryota, Metazoa, Arthropoda, Arachnida, Ixodida, Ixodidae. The transcript has 3 exons.